This 849-nucleotide ribosomal RNA is filed under the name uncultured bacterium. RNAcentral's name for it is "bacterial SSU rRNA". It matches the Rfam family "Bacterial small subunit ribosomal RNA", at positions 9 to 852 of the family's 1533-position model. The record is from RNAcentral.
GAGAUUGAUCAUGGCUCAGGAUGAACGCUAGCGACAGGCCUAACACAUGCAAGUCGAGGGGCAGCACAUGAGUAGCAAUACGGUGGUGGCGACCGGCGCACGGGUGAGUAACACGUAUGCAACCUGCCUUCUACUAUGGGAUAACCCGUUGAAAGACGGACUAAUACCGUAUAAUACAGGGGCUCCGCAUGGAGAUAUUUGUUAAAGAUUUAUUGGUAGAAGAUGGGCAUGCGUAUGAUUAGAUAGUUGGUGAGGUAACGGCUCACCAAGUCAACGAUCAUUAGGGGUUCUGAGAGGAAGGUCCCCCACACUGGUACUGAGACACGGACCAGACUCCUACGGGAGGCAGCAGUGAGGAAUAUUGGUCAAUGGACGAGAGUCUGAACCAGCCAAGUCGCGUGAAGGAAGACGGUUCUAUGAAUUGUAAACUUCUUUUGUGCAGGAAUAAAGUGGGUUACGUGUAACCUUUUGUAUGUACUGUACGAAUAAGGAUCGGCUAACUCCGUGCCAGCAGCCGCGGUAAUACGGAGGAUCCGAGCGUUAUCCGGAUUUAUUGGGUUUAAAGGGUGCGUAGGUGGAUUGAUAAGUCAGCGGUGAAAGUUUGCAGCUUAACUGUAAAAUUGCCGUUGAAACUGUCGGUCUUGAGUGCAAAUGAGGUAGGCGGAAUGUGUUGUGUAGCGGUGAAAUGCUUAGAUAUAACACAGAACUCCGAUUGCGAAGGCAGCUUACUGGGAUGCAACUGACACUGAUGCACGAAAGCGUGGGUAUCAAACAGGAUUAGAUACCCUGGUAGUCCACGCAGUAAACGAUGAAUACUAGCUGUAUGCGAUAUACCGUAUGUGGCACAGC